UCUAAAUUGGCAGAGUAAUUGCAUAAGAAUUAGAAUCUUAGUAUAAGUUUUAUCUUAUUUAGAA
This 64-nucleotide transfer RNA is filed under the name Colossendeis brevirostris. Its description in RNAcentral is "tRNA-Leu". The record is from RNAcentral. Lineage: Eukaryota; Metazoa; Arthropoda; Pycnogonida; Pantopoda; Colossendeidae.